This 501-nucleotide ribosomal RNA is filed under the name uncultured bacterium. Its description in RNAcentral is "bacterial SSU rRNA". It matches the Rfam family "Bacterial small subunit ribosomal RNA", at positions 29 to 520 of the family's 1533-position model. The record is from RNAcentral.
AGUGAACGCUGGCGGCAGGCCUAAUACAUGCAAGUCGAACGGCAGCACGGCAGAGCUUGCUCUGUGGGUGGCGAGUGGCGGACGGGUGAGGAAUACAUGGGAAUCUGCCCAGUCGUGGGGGAUAACGUAGGGAAACUUACGCUAAUACCGCAUGCGCCCUUCGGGGGAAACCGGGGACCUUCGGGCCUGGCGCGAUUGGAUGAGCCCAUGUCGGAUUAGCUAGUUGGCGGGGUAAUGGCCCACCAAGGCGACGAUCCGUAGCUGGUCUGAGAGGAUGAUCAGCCACACUGGAACUGAGACACGGUCCAGACUCCUACGGGAGGCAGCAGUAGGGAAUAUUGGACAAUGGGCGCAAGCCUGAUCCAGCCAUGCCGCGUGAGUGAAGAAGGCCCUCGGGUUGUAAAGCUCUUUUGUCCGGAAAGAAAAGCGCCGGGUUAAACCCUGGUGUCCUGACGGUACCGGAAGAAUAAGCAACCGGCUAACUUCGUGCCAGCAGCCCGG